This 278-nucleotide ribosomal RNA is filed under the name uncultured Thermovirga sp. RNAcentral's name for it is "partial 16S ribosomal RNA". It matches the Rfam family "Bacterial small subunit ribosomal RNA", at positions 1108 to 1382 of the family's 1533-position model. The record is from RNAcentral. Lineage: Bacteria; Thermotogati; Synergistota; Synergistia; Synergistales; Thermovirgaceae.
CAUCCAGUUGCCAUCGGGCGAGCCGGGCACUCUGGAGGGACUGCCGGCGACAAGCCGGAGGAAGGUGGGGAUGACGUCAAGUCAUCAUGGCCCUUAUGUCCAGGGCGACACACGUGCUACAAUGGCCGGCACAGCGGGAAGCGGACGGGGCGACCCUGAGCGGAUCCCUUGAAAAGCCGGUCCCAGUUCGGAUUGCAGUCUGCAACUCGACUGCAUGAAGUUGGAAUCGCUAGUAAUCGCGGAUCAGCCAAGCCGCGGUGAAUACGUUCCCGGGCCUU